AUCAUCGAAUCUUUGAACGCACCUUGCGCUCCCGGCAGAUCUAAUCUGGGGAGCAUGCCUGUUUGAGGGCCGCGAAUUGUUUCGAACGACAACUUUUUUCACAAAGAGUUGGCGGAUCGGUAUUGAGGGUUUU
This 133-nucleotide ribosomal RNA is filed under the name Basidiomycota sp. MA5352. RNAcentral describes it as "partial 5.8S ribosomal RNA". Lineage: Eukaryota; Fungi; Basidiomycota. The record is from RNAcentral.